AACGAACGCUGGCGGCAUGCCUAACACAUGCAAGUCGAACGAGACCUUCGGGUCUAGUGGCGCACGGGUGCGUAACGCGUGGGAACCUGCCCUUAGGUUCGGAAUAACUCCCCGAAAGGGGUGCUAAUACCGGAUAAUGUCUUCGGACCAAAGAUUUAUCGCCUUUGGAUGGGCCCGCGUUGGAUUAGCUAGUUGGUAGGGUAAAAGCCUACCAAGGCGACGAUCCAUAGCUGGUCUGAGAGGAUGAUCAGCCACACUGGGACUGAGACACGGCCCAGACUCCUACGGGAGGCAGCAGUGGGGAAUAUUGGACAAUGGGCGAAAGCCUGAUCCAGCAAUGCCGCGUGAGUGAUGAAGGCCUUAGAGUUGUAAAGCUCUUUUACCCAGGAUGAUAAUGACAGUACCGGGAGAAUAAGCUCCGGCUAACUCCGUG
This 433-nucleotide ribosomal RNA is filed under the name uncultured bacterium. RNAcentral's name for it is "partial 16S ribosomal RNA". It matches the Rfam family "Bacterial small subunit ribosomal RNA", at positions 29 to 507 of the family's 1533-position model. The record is from RNAcentral.